Molecule: long non-coding RNA, 6322 nt
Filed under: Hordeum vulgare
Lineage: Eukaryota; Viridiplantae; Streptophyta; Magnoliopsida; Poales; Poaceae
Description: long non-coding RNA (HVUL_LNC013496)
Source: RNAcentral
GCCAGAACUAACUCGGUAGAAUAAUUAAAGGCUGACAAGAUCAAUCGUUUAAACACACAUCUCAGUGUAAUAAUCAAAAGAAGACCAUAACUUUCUAUUCAGUGAAGCUCUCUGCUUCAUCUGGAUUUAGGAAUAGAUAAGAGCGUCCGGGAUUGGAGAUGAGGCCGACGUGAUGAUGGUGCAAGGGGUUAACAUUCCUUGACAUGUCAGUGAUUUCGUCCAGCGCCUCGCUCUGCUUCUGCAGUCUUUCCUGGUCUCACCUGCAGCUACGGAGCUGUCCUUUGCCGCUGCGAACAUCUCGCCUGGGUAACCGAGCAAAACUUGGGCAAUCUAGGCUUUCCGUCUUCUUGUCGCCGGUUGUAUCCGUCUCGUCGAUCGUCGCUGCAGGCAUAGAGAUGACGGCGAUGCAGCCUAGAGGUCCGGCGUUCAUGCAUACAAGUGUAGUUCAUGCAUUAUUUAGAUCCAAGUGUCAAGUUUUCAGAGUGUCGAUGACAUGAAGCCUCAAUUCUAUCUGAACCCAUCAAACAAAGCCUUCACGGGCGCCGUCGGUUUGGAGUGUUCCAUGCACCGUUGCUAAUGCUAAGCUAAAGAACCCUUGUGGCUGAGGAGUUUGACACCUCAAAACUAAUCCCAAUCAUGCAGCAAGCGCAGGCCAGAGAGGAUUAACUAACCUGUAGCUCAAUGUAAUGCAUUAUUGCCAUGACGCCACGCCAUUGGCCCCGCCUCCAGCUCCAAGUCGACCAUGAUGGCAUGAUGUCACACACGCCAGCUUCCCUCCACAGUCGCAGCUAACUCCUCCUUAGGCCAACCUUCCAAGGCUGCCAAAUCGCACCCUAAUUAACUUAUCAUUAAGCAUUAGGCCUGUACGCACAUAUCAGCAAACGUACUAGCAUAUAGUACUCAAAUGCUACUAUUAUAAAAACAACAAGGUGCAUCCUACCAAACAUUCAACGAAUAAGGCACAGAGAUUGUCAGAUUCUAUAUGAGCAAUAAUUUUCUGACUAAUUUCCAUCCAUUUCCCUCUCAUUUUGAAUGGAGCGAUGGGCAAAGUCUUUUGCAAAUUCACGAAAAAGAAAGCCUUCAGGUCGCUCUCAUCGGCUUCGUAUUUCACAUACGGCCCUUCGAUUGAUAGACCCCGUCUUUGGCGAUCGGCCUAUAUAUACCGCUCCACCCCUUUCCUCCCCACCUCCCAAAUUCCAGGCUUGCCACACAUUCUUUGCAAAUUUGCAACCAGAUAUAGCCUGCGAGGUUUUGUGUGCCAUGGGCAUGGCUGACAAGAGGCCGGCUGCAAGGAAGGCCGGGCUAAUCACCAAGACGCUGGACCGGUGCUGGACCACGCCGGCGAGAAACAGCAAGCCCGUGGAGGGCUGCUUCUCGGUGUAUGUUGGCGCUGGGAGGCAGCGGUUCGUGGUGCGGACAGAGUGCUUGAACCACCCGUUGUUCCGAGCUCUGUUGGAGGAGGCCGAGGAGGUGUUUGGGUACGCGGACGCAGGGCCCCUCGAGCUUCCCUGCAACGCUGAGGCGUUUGCCGGGGUGCUGCAGCAGAUCAAGGAGGAGAAGCAGAUGGCGGCAGGAAGGAGGUACGGCCUUGUCAGGAGGAACUCCUACCGGCUGCUCGGCACCAGCCGGUCUGUCAUCAUCGGACGGUCGUAACAUACGAAUUGGAUUGGAAUUGGAUGAUGCAGAGUUGAUGAGCUCUAAAGUUUCUGUCGAGCUCAUGUUCUCAGAUAUCAUAUACACUUUUGGAAGCAAACUUAGCAUUCCCAAGUAUGAUAAACAACAUCAUCGUAUACUGGGCAAUGUUAGAUAUUUUUCUUCUUCUUCUUCUUUCUAUUUUUAUAAGGUAAUGUUAGAUGUUGGUGGUGUGUUCCCAUCCUAAGUUGUAGUAACUGUCAGCGGAAGUGUCAUUUGAAUCUGUAAGUCUUGUGAUGUCCACAGAUGGUAUAGUGUCGCAAUUCCAAAGCAGAAUCGCACAAUUCAAUUCACCUCACACCGAGUGUAAGAGGUUUUGAUGGAACUACGCUAAGAUUAAUCAACUAUAGUGUUUCUCCGCAGAUCAUCUGCAUGCAAACAUCCACUGAUUUGCUACCAAAUUUGUUUUAAAUCCAUUUACACACAGGAUUACAGAGCCUCAACACAUAUGACAAAUUUUUAAAUCUCAACGCACCAGCAGAAGCAUGUUUGCGGGUUAGACACAUGGCACACCAAUGGAGGUUUGGCAUCAGUUAAUUAAGUAUUCUAAUAUCUACAAAAACUAACCACAGACAAGGACCAUAAACAGGAAAACUCAGUUAUAUAGGUAUGGCUAAAAUGUAGGCAAAAAAACCAAUAAGCAGUAGUUUAGUAGAUGAUGUAAUCGGGAAGAUAUAUAGCAACCGACUCAGAUGGAUGUACAGCAAUCAGGGCAAGCUUAACGGUUCCAGGUAUUCUUAGACCCUUUCAGAGGACUGAAGAACACCAAAGCAUGGGAUCAAGUAUCAGUAAGGGGGAAAACAGACACUGCAAAUUACCGAGUAUUAGAAUUCACUGAAACAAAUAAAAAUAAACUGCUUGAUCCAGCCUUUUGUUAUUUCUUGAGUUUGCAAUCAAUCAGUUGAACACAGGUAUCGUACAGCAACAAUACUACCAUAACUAAACAUAGGGAUAUUCUCUGAAUAUCCAAAGACAAGGCGAUAAAUCAUAUAUGACGUGUCUUGAUGAACAGUAUUUACAGCCGUGGCCAUGGUCUUUGCUGAAUUUCUGUCUCUUUAUUCUAUAGCAAGAGAAGCUAGAGCCAUCAGCUUUGGCUCCAACUAAUACUGGUACUCCAAGGGUUCCCGAGACGUAAACUCUAACCUCACCUUUAUAAACUAACAUUUUGUGGCCCCACGGACAAAUGGAACCGUUAGGCAGAUGCAGAGAUCUUCAUAUAAUAUUGCCUUAACCAUUGACUAAUUAAUCCAGUGCUAACUUUUGGAGGACCUGAAGCACCAACACGAGUGCAUCGGCACUAGAAAAUGGGUUAAAUGUCCAUCUUAACCUGAUCCCUCUAGAGUCAAAAGUUAGAACCAUAUUGUUUUCACUACCUCCAACUUAUCUGAAAAGAUGGAGUCAAGAGCUUGGUGAAACCCCUGGUAAAUUAAGUUUAGAAGCAAAACCAACAUAUCUUAAACAUAAUGGUUAUGCGAAAGGGGAUCAAACUUUUGUCACGCAGUUUUGGAUAGGAAAAAUCUAGACUAUGGCAGCAAGUCUAUAAGAUGAAACUUAUUAUUGUACAAGUGCUGCUAAAACAACAAGUCACAUCCUUGUAAAGACCAAUGAAUAAGGUGCGAAGCUUGAUUCUAUAUGUGCAAUAAUUGUCUGACUAUUUUCAAUCACUUUCUCACUAUUCUUUAAUGAAAUGAUGAGCAGGUCUUUUCCGUAUUCACCUUUUAAAAUAGCUUUUGGGUCACUCUCAUCAUCUUCAUAUCUCAAAUAUGGCCUUUCCAUCGAGAGACCACGUCUUGGUGGAUCCGUCUAUAUAUAUAAUUCCAACCCUUUCCUUGUCACCUCCCAAUUCCAAGCUUGCUACACUUUUUCUUCAUUUUGCAAAAUUCCAACUAGUUAGCCUGCUAACUUUUGUGCACCAUGGGCAUGUCUGAGAAGAGCUUGGCCAAGAGGAAGGCUGGGCUGAUCACCAAGACACUGGACAGGUGCUGGAGCACACCAAUGAGGAACAAGCCUGCAGAGGGCUGUUUCUCUGUCUACGUCGGUGCCGGGAGGCAGCGGUUCGUGGUGCGGACAGAGUGCGUGAACCACCCGCUGUUCCGGGCGCUGCUCGAGGAGGCCGAGGAGGUGUUUGGGUACGCGUCCGCAGGCCCCCUCGAGCUACCCUGCAACGCCGAGGCGUUCGCCGGGGUGUUGGAGCAGAUCAAGGAGGAGAAGCAGAUGGCUGGGGGGAGGAGGUGUGGCCUCUCCAGGGGGAAAUCCUACCGGCUGCUUGGCACUGGUCAGACUGUCAUCAUCGAUCGGUCGUAGCAUAUGCAUUGGAUUGGAUGAUGCCGAGUUUAUGAGCUCUGAGUUUUGUUGAACUCGCAUUCUGGGACUACCGUGUACACAUUUGGAAGCAACCUUAGCAUUCCCAAGUAUGAUAAACAACAUCAUCAUAUACUGGGCAAAUGAGAUACUUUUAUUUUUUCUUCUGUUUCUGGUUUGCAUUUUUGUGAGAAGGCAAUGUUAGAUGUUGAUGUGUUUUCCCCUCCUAAGUUGUAGUAACUGUCGGUGGAAGUGUUAUACAGAUAUAUAAAGAAUCUAUAAGUUUUUCUUUAUGUCUAUAUAUGGCAUAAUGUUGCAAUUCCAAAGUAGAAUCGCACAGUUCAAUUCAUCUCGCACUGAUUGCAAGUGGUUUGGAUCAAAUUACGCUAAGAUACACCUAUAGUGUUUUCCCGCAGAUCUUCUCUUACGCAAGCAUCCACUAAUUUGCUAUCCAAAUCUGUUUGAAUUCCAUUUACACACUGGAUUACAGAGCCUCAACUCAUCUGUCAAUUUUUUAAAUCUCAAAGCACAGAAAUAUGUAUGCCGACUAGACACACGGCACACGGAAUGGAGGUAUGGCAUCAAUUAAUCAAGUGAUCUAAAUCAACAAAAAUUAACCACAGAAAAGGGCCAUAAACUGGAAAAGUCGUUUGUUGAUAUGGUUAAAAGGUAGGCAAAAAACAAAUGAGCAGUAGUGUAGUAGAUGAUGUAGUCAAGAAGAUAUAUCCAUUGAUUGAUCGAAUAAAUGAUGAUUUGGCAUCUAUAAGGAUCGGUAUAUCUAAUUUCUCGUAAAUGGAAAAGGGCUAAAGUAAUGUUAGUUGGUACAUUUGAUUGGAUUGAUCUCCAGGUACAUAAAUUUAUUCAAGACAAAGCUAUAGAAUUAGUGCAUUAAUGUACAAUACAGGUAGCAUGUGGGUUACCAUUUUCACUGUCAACUGAUGUUUUUUCUCCAGCCAAUACCAUUUGAUGCUUGCUAGGGACAUUUUUGCAGAACUAUAACUCCAGAACCAGUCGAUAACUUCCUUUGAUCCUGCAAUCAGGGCAAGGUUAACGAUUCCAGGUAUUCUUUGACUCACUCAGAGGACUGAAGAACACCAAAGUAUGGGAUCAAGUAUCAGUAAGGAGAAAACAGACACCGCAAAUUACUGGGUAUUAUAUUAUUAACAAUAAACUGCUUGAUCCAGCCCUUUCCUAUUGUUUGGAUUUGCAACCAGUCAGUUGAACCCAGGGACCGUACAGUAACCACACUACUAUGACUAAACAAAGGGAUAUCCUUUGAAUAUCCAGAGAGAAAAAUCGUAUAUGCCGCGUCUCAGUAAACAGCCUUGACCGGUGCCCGGCUUUGUUGAAUCUCUGGCUCUAUAUUCAUUCUACGGCAUGGGGAAGCUAGAGUCAUUAGUUUUGGCUCCAAGUAACCACCGGCACUCCAAGCGUUCUCGAGACGUAAACUCUAACCUCGGUUUUAUAUAAUUGCCACUAGCAUUCCCUGACCUCAUGGACAAAUGGAUCCAUUAUCCAGAUGCAGAGCUCUUCAUAUGAUACUACCUUAUUCAUUGACUAACUGAUCCAGUGCUAACUCUUGGAGUAGUUGAAGCACCAACAAGAGCGCGACAGCAUUAGAGAAUGUGUUAAAUAUCGAUCCUAAUUCAAUCCCUCUGGAGUCAGAAGUCGGGUUGUUUUCACCACCUGCAACUUGUCUGAAAAGCUGGAGCCAAGAGCAAGGUGAAAAUGGAACCCCCAGUAAACGAAGCCUAGAAGCAAAGCCAACAUACUCUUAACAAAUAACGGUAUGCAGAAGUGGAUCAGGCUUUCAUCAAGCAGUUUUGGAGGGCAAAAGUCUUAUGGCAGCAAGAGCAGACACACUUUAAAAUUGGCCAGCAGACCAAAUAUGGAUGUUCCUGCCACAACCUAAAACCAAAUUAUCUGUCACCUCUAAGUAAAAUGUAGAGUACUUGCAAUUUACAGCGUUCCCGCCAAGUUCCCAGAGGAUAAACUCCCCAGCAUCAAGCACCAACUGAAAUACCGCUUUCACCUACACCAAGACGAUCCAGAAUGGGUCGCGAGACCUAGCCGUGGGGAUUAAAAGAAACUCUGCAAAAAACGAAGGAAAAAAAAUCCCCGAGAAUCCAUGCCGAGCGGUCAGAACCGGAAGAUAACUUUUGUUCCUGCUGNNNNNNNNNNNNNNNNNNNNNNUCCUGCUGACGGGGGAGGGGUGCACCGUGCACGGUGGAAGGCGGCGACUCGCCGGUUCGCUCCGCCUCUUCGCCAUGGCCCAAGGUUGGGGACAGCGGAGCGGUGCCUACGGUAAUACUCCGACGCGCGAGGGGCU